UGCAGUCGCACGGGCAGUAGCAAUAUUGUCAGUGGCGGACGGGUGAGUAACGCGUAGGAAUCUAUCCUUGGAUGGGGGACAACCGUGGGAAACUACGGCUAAUACCGCAUAAUGCCUGAGGGCCAAAGACGUAAGUCGUCUGGGGAGGAGCCUGCGUCUGAUUAGGUAGUUGGUGGGGUAAAGGCCUACCAAGCCUGCGAUCAGUAGCUGGUCUGAGAGGAUGAUCAGCCACAUUGGGACUGAGACACGGCCCAAACUCCUACGGGAGGCAGCAGUGGGGAAUAUUGGACAAUGGGGGCAACCCUGAUCCAGCAAUGCCGCGUGGGUGAAGAAGGUUUUCGGAUUGUAAAGCCCUUUUGGCGGGGACGAUGAUGACGGUACCCGCAGAAUAAGCUCCGGCUAACUUCGUGCCAGCAGCCGCGGUAAUACGAAGGGGGCUAGCGUUGCUCGGAAUGACUGGGCGUAAAGGGCGCGUAGGCGGCUUACAUAGUUAGGCGUGAAAUUCCUGGGCUCAACCUGGGGACUGCGUCUAAUACAUGUAGGCUUGAGUGUGAAAGAGGGUCGUGGAAUUUCCAGUGUAGAGGUGAAAUUCGUAGAUAUUGGAAAGAACACCGGUGGCGAAAGCGGCGACCUGGUUCAUUACUGACGCUGAGGCGCGAAAGCGUGGGGAGCAAACAGGAUUAGAUACCCUGGUAGUCCACGCUGGUAACGAUGUGUGCUGAUGUUGGGGUGCUUAGCACUUCAGUGUCGUAGCUAACGCGGUAAGCACACCGCUGGGGGAGUACGUCGCAGUGAACUCAAGAUGACGGGGUCGCCAGCG
RNAcentral lists this ribosomal RNA (820 nucleotides) under uncultured Acidiphilium sp. RNAcentral's name for it is "bacterial SSU rRNA". It matches the Rfam family "Bacterial small subunit ribosomal RNA", at positions 56 to 931 of the family's 1533-position model. The record is from RNAcentral. Lineage: Bacteria; Pseudomonadati; Pseudomonadota; Alphaproteobacteria; Acetobacterales; Acidocellaceae.